CGUAACAAGGUCUCCGUUGGUGAACCAGCGGAGGGAUCAUUACCGAGUUUACAACUCCCAAACCCCUGUGAACAUACCUAUACGUUGCCUCGGCGGAUCAGCCCGCGCCCCGUAAAAAGGGACGGCCCGCCCGAGGACCCCUAAACUCUGUUUUUAGUGGAACUUCUGAGUAAAACAAACAAAUAAAUCAAAACUUUCAACAACGGAUCUCUUGGUUCUGGCAUCGAUGAAGAACGCAGCAAAAUGCGAUAAGUAAUGUGAAUUGCAGAAUUCAGUGAAUCAUCGAAUCUUUGAACGCACAUUGCGCCCGCCAGUAUUCUGGCGGGCAUGCCUGUUCGAGCGUCAUUUCAACCCUCAAGCUCAGCUUGGUGUUGGGACUCGCGGUAACCCGCGUUCCCCAAAUCGAUUGGCGGUCACGUCGAGCUUCCAUAGCGUAGUAAUCAUACACCUCGUUACUGGUAAUCGUCGCGGCCACGCCGUAAAACCCCAACUUCUGAAUGUUGACCUCGGAUCAGGUAGGAAUACCCGCUGAACUUAAGCAUAUCAAUAAGCGGAGGAAAAGAAACCAACAGGGAUUGCCCUAGUAACGGCGAGUGAAGCGGCAACAGCUCAAAUUUGAAAUCUGGCUCUCGGGCCCGAGUUGUAAUUUGUAGAGGAUGCUUUUGAUGCGGUGCCUUCCGAGUUCCCUGGAACGGGACGCCAUAGAGGGUGAGAGCCCCGUCUGGUUGGAUGCC
This 734-nucleotide non-coding RNA is filed under the name Fusarium compactum. Its description in RNAcentral is "sequence contains ITS1, 5.8S rRNA gene, ITS2, 28S rRNA gene". The stretch from base 502 to 734 matches the Rfam family "Eukaryotic large subunit ribosomal RNA", at positions 1 to 237 of the family's 3401-position model. The record is from RNAcentral. Lineage: Eukaryota; Fungi; Ascomycota; Sordariomycetes; Hypocreales; Nectriaceae.